UACAGAGGGUGCGAGCGUUAAUCGGAAUUACUGGGCGUAAAGGGUGCGUAGGCGGCGGGGCAAGUCUGAUGUGAAAUCCCGGGGCUCAACCCCGGAACUGCAUUGGAUACUGCCUUGCUUGAGUACUGGAGAGGGAACUGGAAUUUACGGUGUAGCAGUGAAAUGCGUAGAUAUCGUAAGGAAGGCCAGUGGCGAAGGCGAGUUCCUGGACAGUUACUGACGCUGAGGCACGAAGGCCAGGGGAGCAAACGGG
RNAcentral lists this ribosomal RNA (253 nucleotides) under uncultured bacterium. RNAcentral's name for it is "partial 16S ribosomal RNA". It matches the Rfam family "Bacterial small subunit ribosomal RNA", at positions 524 to 776 of the family's 1533-position model. The record is from RNAcentral.